GCUUGUCUCAAAGAUUAAGCCAUGCAUGUCUAAGUACAAGCCUCAGUAAGGUGAAACCGCGAAUGGCUCAUUAAAACAGUUAUAGUUUAUUUGAUAAUCGAAUUUACAUGGAUAACCGUGGUAAUUCUAGAGCUAAUACAUGCUGGUUAGCCUGACUUUUAGGAAGGGCUGUAUUUAUUAGAUAACAAACCAAUAUUCCUCGUGUCUAUUGUGAUGACUCAUAAUAACUGAUCGAAUCGCAUGGGCCUUGCCCGCGAUACAUCAUUCAAGUUUCUGCCCCAUCAGCUUUCGAUGGUAGUGUAUUGGACUACCAUGGCUUUAACGGGUAACGGAGGAUUAGGGUUCGAUUCCGGAGAGGGAGCCUGAGAAACGGCUACCACAUCUAAGGAAGGCAGCAGG
RNAcentral lists this ribosomal RNA (399 nucleotides) under uncultured Hypotrichia. Its description in RNAcentral is "partial small subunit ribosomal RNA". It matches the Rfam family "Eukaryotic small subunit ribosomal RNA", at positions 30 to 432 of the family's 1831-position model. Lineage: Eukaryota; Ciliophora; Spirotrichea. The record is from RNAcentral.